CCCUACAACAUGAGCAUGAACUGAUCACUGAGACUGCAUUGCGCAUGAAAGACAGUUUUAGAAGACGAACGUCACCUUCGUCAGAAGCAGAUUUUUACUGCCAGGCUGGCUUUGACCAAAAAGGUUUUGAGAUCAAAUUUAUAUCAGACUAUAAAAACAUCCAAACGGCUAGCUCAGAUGUGGAAGUGGAAUCGGACCCUUUUAGUUGGGAAUUCAAUGGGAAAUUCAUUUGACAGUGAUGAUGAUGAUGAGAUUAAUUCAGCUUGUUGUGAUCCUCCUGGACAUCCAAGUGUUUUCGACAUUGAUGAAGAUUUUGUCACUCUGUCUCUGUUGGACCAAACCAAGAAAUGAUGGUUUUAAGAAGAUUAUAGGAUAUGUCAUAGAAUAGGAAGACCCCACCACUGGAGGCAGGCUAAUGACUACCCAGUAGAUGAGUGUGUUUAUGAGGUGUAGGGAUUAAAAAAGGACAAGGAAUACAACUUCCACAUACGGGCCAAGAAUCUUGAAGGUUUUAGUGAGUCUAGUGAUGUGAUUGGUCCCAUAACCCCCAUUUCAAAUACACCAAGGUUUUGCCACCUGGUGUACCAGAGGCUGUCAACAAUUCUAUAACUUAUCUGAAAUGGGAACCACCUAAGCAUAAUGGUGGCUGUAAAAUUACAGACUACCUUGUGGAAGAGAGGUUUAAGGGAGCAGAGAUGUGGUUUAAGUGUAAUGAGUACCCCUGCACUGACCUCUCUUUACUGUCACCGAUCUUCCUCAGGACUCAGAGUGGGAGUUAAGAGUUACAGCUGUUAACUUUGCUGGAAACUGUGAGCCCAGUCUGUGCUCACCAGCAUACAAAAUCCAGGAGAAGAUUGAGUCUUUUGCAAUUGAGCAGGAUGAGGAAUCACACCAAUCAUUUGUAAAUGAAAGCAGCAGUCAUGAUGUUGUCAAUGAGAAUGAAUUUUAAAUAGGAUAUGAUACAGGGGCACUUUUAAGUGAUGAAGCAGACGAGUAUGAUGAUGGUAAUGAUGAUGAAUCAUACCAUCCUUCAAGCGAUGAAAAAAGCUGUGAUGAAGAUACCAUUAAUGAUCUUGAUAUGCCCAGUAAGCCUCUCAAAUCUGAAAUGCAGCAGAAACAAGCUGCACUUGCAAGUGACAGUGAAAAGGACAGUGAAUGUGAAGAUGAUCAUGAUGAUGUCAGCAAAGUUUUACCACAGUCAGAGAAGCGAAAGACCAGUUUUUUAGAGGCCAAAAACAUCGUCUGGGAACUAUGAUAAUAAAAAACAUUCAUGUCUCUUUUGUGAGAAGUUUUGCCAGCAGGCCAAUUGAUGGUAUGCAUAUCAUAUAAGCCCAUAGCUCUUUAAGUACAAAAAAUUGUGAGAUUCGU
Long non-coding RNA from Saccostrea echinata, 1368 nucleotides. RefSeq lists it as uncharacterized. The record is from RefSeq and is a predicted model, not a curated record. NCBI's taxonomy places the organism in Eukaryota, Metazoa, Mollusca, Bivalvia, Ostreida, Ostreidae. The transcript is spliced from 10 exons.